Molecule: transfer-messenger RNA, 354 nt
Filed under: Actinomycetota (actinobacteria)
Lineage: Bacteria; Bacillati
Also listed under: 1 other name
Description: Hydromicrobium sp016783995 Standard tmRNA
Rfam family: transfer-messenger RNA
About the family: Bacterial tmRNA, also known as 10Sa RNA or SsrA, is named for its dual tRNA and mRNA-like properties. Its role is to liberate the mRNA from a stalled ribosome.
Source: RNAcentral
GGGGGCGAUUGGACUCGACGGAGAUAGGUUGAGCUUGGAUUGCAGGCCGAGUGCCAGAACUCGUAAAAAUACUGGGCUAAACAUAAAUGCUAAUAAUAAUAAAUUAGCCUUAGCAGCCUAAUAAUAUAGCUGCUACGUCUACAAAAAGUUUCCUGUGCUUUUUGAUAGGCGACGAUUAGCAGGAUACCUUAUAGCAGUUUGUCUAAAGCUGCUGUUUGGGAAUUUUUAGCAGACUAGCUUUUUAAAAUCCUGUUCAUGGGGUUUUAAAAAGCGAAUCUUAAUUAUGAACUAAGCUUGUAGAAGUCUAAGUGGCAAUAUUUUCGGACGCGGGUUCGAAUCCCGCCGCCUCCACCA